RNAcentral lists this ribosomal RNA (164 nucleotides) under uncultured bacterium. RNAcentral describes it as "partial 16S rRNA". It matches the Rfam family "Bacterial small subunit ribosomal RNA", at positions 355 to 511 of the family's 1533-position model. The record is from RNAcentral.
UAGGGAAUCUUCCACAAUGGACGAAAGUCUGAUGGAGCAACGCCGCGUGAGUGAAGAAGGGUUUCGGCUCGUAAAACUCUGUUGUUAAAGAAGAACAUAUCUGAGAGUAACUGUUCAGGUAUUGACGGUAUUUAACCAGAAAGCCACGGCUAACUACUUGCCAG